Long non-coding RNA from Drosophila simulans, 975 nucleotides. RefSeq lists it as uncharacterized. NCBI's taxonomy places the organism in Eukaryota, Metazoa, Arthropoda, Insecta, Diptera, Drosophilidae. The record is from RefSeq and is a predicted model, not a curated record. The transcript is spliced from 3 exons.
CUUGGUCGUCCAUGAGUGGUGGCAGCAAGUCUUGCUUGUAGCCGGCUGCUUCCUCCACAAAUGCUGUACGUUGAACUAUUCGGAUCAAAGCGAACAGCGCCCUUUUGAAUUCUGACACUUGUAUUGAUCCGGUGAGUCGUUAAUUUUCGUUGCUCCGAGCAUUGUGAACAAAUCUGUGGAUAUCACCGGUGCAGAUGAAUUUGGCAGGAUCUGGAGGGGUAAUUUUCACCUGGGACCACUGGGUAGGAACACGACGCCACUUAUAAUACGAUUACGGCGACCAACCAGAAGUCUACAGAAGCGGUUAUUUUGGGUACGUGCAGUUGUUUCUGGACUCAUGUUACGAAUAUGGUAGAAAGGACGGCUGCCGGUAGUUCCACCCUAGGUCGACUUGGUUUGACCCGACUGCGUGUAAAUUGGCGUGUGUUUUCUCGUGUAUGUCCAGAGCUUGAAAGUAUUCGCACGUUGCAUAUGCAGAGGACGAUCCAUCGAAAAACAUAUGUAACUGGAGAGACUACUUUGCUCAAGUCGAAUCCAAGCCAGCGAGCGUAUCUGGUAAUGAAUCAUCCCAGUCCAGUGCUCGGUAACUGCCAUCGGCUUGCUGAACGUGGAAGUUCUAUAUAUCUUUUAGGAGGAUCUCUGACAUGACAAUCAUGGGAUAACAGUUUGGAAUGGGUAGUAUUAAUCUUAAACUUGAUUUGGAAGCCAUAUUAGUCAUGAUUUGUGUGUUGGCCCGACCAAGGAGAAGACAGAGUUUCAGAUUAAAGUCGCUUUAUUGUAGUAUUUUACAGCUGACUCCUCCUGUGAUCGCCGUCCGCUGCGGGGCGUUGCCUUCUUUGUCCUGUGCGUUCUUGACAACGGACCACGUGUCGGCUCGAGUGGGAUUAGGAUAUUAUGGGACAGGGCGUAUCGUCAGCGGCUUAAGGAAUCGCUUGGCCUGGGACCACCUUUCCCGACUACUGACUCCACUGUCCC